This 254-nucleotide ribosomal RNA is filed under the name uncultured prokaryote. RNAcentral's name for it is "partial 16S ribosomal RNA". It matches the Rfam family "Bacterial small subunit ribosomal RNA", at positions 525 to 777 of the family's 1533-position model. The record is from RNAcentral.
ACGUAGGGAGCGGGCGUUGUCCGGAUUUAUUGGGCGUAAAGAGCUCGUAGGCGGUUUGGUAAGUCGGGUGUGAAAGCUCCGGGCUCAACUCGGAGAGGUCACUCGAUACUGCCAUGACUUGAGUCCGGUAGGGGGGUGUGGAAUUCCCAGUGUAGCGGUGAAAUGCGCAGAUAUUGGGAGGAACACCAAUGGCGAAGGCAGCACCCUGGGCCGGUACUGACGCUGAGGAGCGAAAGCGUGGGGAGCAAACAGGA